This is a non-coding RNA of Danio rerio (zebrafish), 607 nucleotides long. The record is from RefSeq and is a predicted model, not a curated record. Lineage: Eukaryota; Metazoa; Chordata; Actinopteri; Cypriniformes; Danionidae.
ACACCAUCAAGCAGAUCUACAAUAGUGGAGGAACCCUUUCUGCUUACCUGGUGAUGCUGACCGGCCGAGAGGAGCAGGAGAGAACACACGGACAGGUGAACCGCUGAGCAAACACUGGAGGAGAAACACACAGAGAGGCUGUGAUUGCGGUGCAGGUCAGUGUAAUGCUGCAGAGUGUACCUGCGGUGGAGUGUGAUGCUGAGCAUGGAAACCCUACAGAUGUAGAAAUCCUGCUUCAGCUUGCUCUCCUCGCUUCAUUUAACAGUAGUGGUGGGCAAAGUGAGGCUUCAUGAAACUGAAACAGUUGAAGCAAAUGUGUCAAAGCUUUGAAACGUUUCAAAACUCUACAGUGACACCUAGUGGUAAUUGUUAUACAUUGCUCUGGAACAGUUUCAGCAAAGAACAAUUGAGCAAAUUGAGGUAUUAAAACCCACUUUGUACCUUUGAACCUACAAGUGUUAUAGCAGAGCGGUCAGAGUUCCUGACUAUCAUGCAGGGAUACUGGGUUCGAAUCCAGGCAAAUGCAGCUAUGUUGAAAUGCUCUGUUCUUGUAUUGUUUUGUUUCAACAUUGGUCAGACAUCAGAAUAAACACUAUUUGUGAAUAAA